This 432-nucleotide ribosomal RNA is filed under the name uncultured bacterium. RNAcentral's name for it is "partial 16S ribosomal RNA". It matches the Rfam family "Bacterial small subunit ribosomal RNA", at positions 29 to 507 of the family's 1533-position model. The record is from RNAcentral.
GCGAACGCUGGUGGCAGGCCUAACACAUGCAAGUCGAACGGAUCCUUCGGGAUUAGUGGCGGACGGGUGAGUAACACGUGGGAACGUGCCCUUUGGUUCGGAACAACUCAGGGAAACUUGAGCUAAUACCGGAUGUGCCCUUCGGGGGAAAGAUUUAUCGCCAUUGGAGCGGCCCGCGUCUGAUUAGCUAGUUGGUGAGGUAACGGCCCACCAAGGCGACGAUCAGUAGCUGGUCUGAGAGGAUGAUCAGCCACACUGGGACUGAGACACGGCCCAGACUCCUACGGGAGGCAGCAGUGGGGAAUCUUGCGCAAUGGGCGAAAGCCUGACGCAGCCAUGCCGCGUGAAUGAUGAAGGUCUUAGGAUUGUAAAAUUCUUUCAGCGGGGACGAUAAUGACGGUACCCGCAGAAGAAGCUCCGGCUAACUUCGUG